This 106-nucleotide ribosomal RNA is filed under the name Caenorhabditis japonica. Its description in RNAcentral is "rRNA CJA48298". Lineage: Eukaryota; Metazoa; Nematoda; Chromadorea; Rhabditida; Rhabditidae. The record is from RNAcentral.
UUAGUUAAAGUUGGUGUUUUUGUCGCUGUUCCCGUCCCAUCUGGCAAGUUAAGCAACGUCGAGUCCGGUUAGUACUUGGAUCGGAGUUUAAGGUGCUGCCAACCUU